GAGGGGGCAAGCGUUGUUCGGAAUUACUGGGCGUAAAGGGCGCGUAGGCGGCCUGUUAAGUCGAACGUGAAAUCCCCGGGCUCAACCCGGGAACUGCGUCCGAUACUGGCAGGCUUGAAUCCGGGAGAGGGAUGUGGAAUUCCAGGUGUAGCGGUGAAAUGCGUAGAUAUCUGGAGGAACACCGGUGGCGAAGGCGGCAUCCUGGACCAACACUGACACUGAGGAGCGAAAGCCAGGGGAGCAAACGGG
This 249-nucleotide ribosomal RNA is filed under the name uncultured bacterium. Its description in RNAcentral is "partial 16S ribosomal RNA". It matches the Rfam family "Bacterial small subunit ribosomal RNA", at positions 528 to 776 of the family's 1533-position model. The record is from RNAcentral.